Molecule: transfer RNA, 72 nt
Filed under: Camelus bactrianus (Bactrian camel)
Lineage: Eukaryota; Metazoa; Chordata; Mammalia; Artiodactyla; Camelidae
Also listed under: 2 other names
Rfam family: tRNA
About the family: Transfer RNA (tRNA) molecules are approximately 80 nucleotides in length. Their secondary structure includes four short double-helical elements and three loops (D, anti-codon, and T loops).
Source: Rfam by way of RNAcentral
GAGGGGAUAGCUCAGUGGUAGAGCGCAUGCUUAGCAUGCACCAGGUCCUGGGUUCAAUCCCCAGUACCUCCA